RNAcentral lists this ribosomal RNA (300 nucleotides) under uncultured Lactobacillus sp. RNAcentral's name for it is "bacterial SSU rRNA". It matches the Rfam family "Bacterial small subunit ribosomal RNA", at positions 496 to 795 of the family's 1533-position model. Lineage: Bacteria; Bacillati; Bacillota; Bacilli; Lactobacillales; Lactobacillaceae. The record is from RNAcentral.
GUGAACUCCUGGUCAGCAGCCGUGGUAAUUCGGAGGUGGCCAUCGUGAACCGGAUUUAGUGGGCGUAAAGCGAGAGCAGGCGGUUUUUUAAGUCUGAUGUGAAAGCCCUCGGCUUAACCGAGGAAGCGCAUCGGAAACUGGGAAACUUGAGUGCAGAAGAGGACAGUGGAACUCCAUGUGUAGCGGUGAAAUGCGUAGAUAUAUGGAAGAACACCAGUGGCGAAGGCGGCUGUCUGGUCUGUAACUGACGCUGAGGCUCGAAAGCAUGGGUAGCGAACAGGAUUAGAUACCCGAGUAGUC